AACUAUCUGGUGCAGCUUGGUUUUCUCUGCACUGAUUUCCAUGCCGUAUUUUGCGGAGGUUUCAUCCAAUCAUUUCACAAGGUUGGCAAGUUCAUCUUCGCUACCUACCAGGCCAUCAAUGUCAUCAGCAAACUGAAGAUUUGAGA
Molecule: non-coding RNA, 146 nt
Organism: Chelonoidis abingdonii (Abingdon island giant tortoise)
Lineage: Eukaryota; Metazoa; Chordata; Testudines; Testudinidae
Source: RefSeq, a predicted model, not a curated record